AUUGGACGCUGGCGGCAUGCUUUACACAUGCAAGUCGAACGGUAACAGGUUAGGCUGACGAGUGGCGAACGGGUGAGUAAUGCAUCGGAACGUGCCCGAUCGUGGGGGAUAACGCAGCGAAAGCUGCGCUAAUACCGCAUACGAUCUGAGGAUGAAAGCGGGGGACCGUAAGGCCUCGCGCGAUCGGAGCGGCCGAUGUCAGAUUAGGUAGUUGGUGGGGUAAAGGCCCACCAAGCCGACGAUCUGUAGCUGGUCUGAGAGGACGACCAGCCACACUGGGACUGAGACACGGCCCAGACUCCUACGGGAGGCAGCAGUGGGGAAUUUUGGACAAUGGGCGAAAGCCUGAUCCAGCAAUGCCGCGUGCAGGAAGAAGGCCUUCGGGUUGUAAACUGCUUUUGUACGGAGCGAAAAGGUCCUUUCUAAUACAGGGGGCUCAUGACGGUACCGUAAGAAUAAGCACCGGCUAACUACGUGCCAGCCGCCGCAGUAA
Molecule: ribosomal RNA, 493 nt
Filed under: uncultured bacterium
Lineage: Bacteria
Description: partial 16S ribosomal RNA
Rfam family: Bacterial small subunit ribosomal RNA
Source: RNAcentral